GCUGGUCGCAGUGGUGUGUGUCUCUAGUCUCGAUGCUUUGGGAGGCCAAGGCAGGAGGAUUGCUUGAGCACAGGAAUUCUGGGUUAUCGUGAACUAUGUGAUCAGGCGCCUGCACUAACAUGCUGACAUUUUGGGAGCAGGGGACCACCAGGUUGCCUAAUGUGUCUGAGGAGGGGUUUCCAGGUUUGAAAUGGGGCAGCUCGACACUCCCUAGCUUAUCAGUCGUGAGACUGCUCCUGUGAGUAGCCACUGCAUUCUGGCCUGGGCAGCAUAGCGAGAUCCCACUUACC
Callithrix jacchus (white-tufted-ear marmoset) is the source of this 290-nucleotide unclassified non-coding RNA. It matches the Rfam family "Metazoan signal recognition particle RNA". Rfam says of the family: The signal recognition particle (SRP) is a universally conserved ribonucleoprotein. It is involved in the co-translational targeting of proteins to membranes. The eukaryotic SRP consists of a 300-nucleotide 7S RNA and six proteins: SRPs 72, 68, 54, 19, 14, and 9. The record is from Ensembl. NCBI's taxonomy places the organism in Eukaryota, Metazoa, Chordata, Mammalia, Primates, Cebidae.